GCAAACUUGGUCAUUUAGAGGAAGUAAAAGUCGUAACAAGGUUUCCGUAGGUGAACCUGCGGAAGGAUCAUUAGAAAAAAGAUCGAUUCCGAUAAACAAUAUGGACGAUCAAAAUCCAUAUCCACCUUGUGUGCACUCAUCGACCGUUUGCUUUGGCAGGAACAAAAAAAGGAGCCUUCGAUCCUCUGAUCCGGAGGCGCCGAGGGAGGCAUUUCCCUCUCUCUUUCUGAAAAGAAGAGAGAUCGAUCUAGUCUCGGCCUGCCAGAGUUUUUUUUUCCGAACCCACGCUUCUUUUUGCUCUGGACUGAACCUUCGUCUCGAUUCUCUUGUGAAUCGGUCGAACCAGAUAACAACUUUCAACAACGGAUCUCUUGGCUCUCGCAUCGAUGAAGAACGCAGC
This 400-nucleotide unclassified non-coding RNA is filed under the name uncultured fungus. RNAcentral describes it as "partial contains small subunit ribosomal RNA, internal transcribed spacer 1, and 5.8S ribosomal RNA". The stretch from base 1 to 73 matches the Rfam family "Eukaryotic small subunit ribosomal RNA", at positions 1759 to 1831 of the family's 1831-position model. Lineage: Eukaryota; Fungi. The record is from RNAcentral.